CCUACGGGGUGCACCAGUGGGGAAUAUUGAACAAUGGGCGAAAGCCUGAUCCAGCAAUGCCGCGUGUGUGAAGAAGGUCUUCGGAUUGUAAAGCACUUUCGGCGGGGACGAUGAUGACGGUACCCGUAGAAGAAGCCCCGGCUAACUUCGUGCCAGCAGCCGCGGUAAUACGAAGGGGGCUAGCGUUGCUCGGAAUGACUGGGCGUAAAGGGCGCGUAGGCGGUUUAUGCAGUCAGAUGUGAAAUCCCCGGGCUUAACCUGGGAACUGCAUUUGAGACGCAUAGACUAGAGGUCGAGAGAGGGUUGUAGAAUUCCCAGUGUAGAGGUGAAAUUCGUAGAUAUUGGGAAGAACACCGGUGGCGAAGGCGGCAACCUGGCUCGAUACUGACGCCGAGGCGCGAAAGCGUGGGGAGCAAACAGGAUUAGAUACCCCAGUAGUC
RNAcentral lists this ribosomal RNA (440 nucleotides) under uncultured bacterium. RNAcentral describes it as "bacterial SSU rRNA". It matches the Rfam family "Bacterial small subunit ribosomal RNA", at positions 338 to 795 of the family's 1533-position model. The record is from RNAcentral.